AACACAUGCAAGUCGAACGAGAAAGUGGAGCAAUCCAUGAGUACAGUGGCGUACGGGUGAGUAACACGUGGGUAAUNNANNCNUAGUGGGGAAUAACUUUGGGAAACCGAAGCUAAUACCGCAUAAGCUCGAGAGAGGAAAGCAGCAAUGCGCUGAGAGAGGAGCCCGCGGCCGAUUAGCUAGUUGGCAGGGUAAAAGCCUACCAAGGCAUAGAUCGGUAGCCGGCCUGAGAGGGCACACGGCCACACUGGCACUGAAACACGGGCCAGACUCCUACGGGAGGCAGCAGUGGGGAAUCUUGCACAAUGGGGGAAACCCUGAUGCAGCGACGCCGCGUGAGCGAUGAAGCCCUUCGGGGUGUAAAGCUCUUUCGGCAGGGAAGAUAGUGACGGUACCUGCAGAAGCACCGGCUAACUCUGUGCCAGCAGCCGCGGUAAUACAGAGGGUGCGAGCGUUAAUCGGAAUUACUGGGCGUAAAGGGUGCGUAGGUGGUUUUGUAAGUAACAUGUGAAAGUCCUGAGCUUAACUUGGGGAUUGCGUGUUAGACUGCAGAGCUAGAGUGUUGUAGAGGAUAGCGGAAUUUCCGGUGUAGCGGUGAAAUGCGUAGAUAUCGGAAGGAACAUCAGUGGCGAAGGCGGCUAUCUGGACAACAACUGACACUGAGGCACGAAAGCGUGGGGAGCAAACAGGAUUAGAUACCCUGGUAGUCCACGCUGUAAACGAUGAUAACUGGUUGUUGGAUGCGAGAGCAUUUAGUAACGAAGCAAACGCGUUAAGUUAUCCGCCUGGGGAGUACGGCCGCAAGGUUAAACUCAAAUGAAUUGACGG
This 828-nucleotide ribosomal RNA is filed under the name uncultured bacterium. Its description in RNAcentral is "bacterial SSU rRNA". It matches the Rfam family "Bacterial small subunit ribosomal RNA", at positions 50 to 916 of the family's 1533-position model. The record is from RNAcentral.